UGUAGUGCUCUUCUUUUCACGACCUUAUUCUCAUUUCCUCUUUGUCUCCUGAAACCCUAAUUAUCUUCUCCAGCGUUUUCUUCUACCACUCUAUCUAUGAUUUUCAGCGGUUUCUAUUUCUUUGCGUCGUCUGUAUCACUGAUUAGAGAACAAACCACAAUCACAAGUUAAAGGAAACACACCAUCGUCAUUUUUAUUUUGUUUAUGAUUACUAGAGAAUCUAAAGUGUAUCAUAGAUCUUUCUGCCCAAAGAUAUGGAUUUGCUAUUGAUUCUUGUCGUCUCUGGUGGAGAGGCAUAAUGGCAUAUCGACGACUCCAUCUUUGGCCGAGAUCCACACCAGAUGAUGAGAAGACAAUCCCCAAUGAGACCGUCAUAUGCAGCGGCCGUAAAAAAAUCACACAAGCAGUCCAUAAAAUCAUAGGGAUCAAUUUAGGACCUCCAGUGUUUUGUUAUGCUCAGUUGUUCCCCAAAGUGAUACUAUGAAUCCCUUUUAUAACGUGUAUAAUGUUGGUGGUAGAUUUAACUUACAGUUUUAUUUAAUGAUUCCAUUAAUUUAAUGUCUUUCUAUCAUUA
Molecule: long non-coding RNA, 574 nt
Organism: Papaver somniferum (opium poppy)
Lineage: Eukaryota; Viridiplantae; Streptophyta; Magnoliopsida; Ranunculales; Papaveraceae
Exons: 2
Source: RefSeq, a predicted model, not a curated record